RNAcentral lists this ribosomal RNA (320 nucleotides) under uncultured eukaryote. Its description in RNAcentral is "partial 18S ribosomal RNA". It matches the Rfam family "Eukaryotic small subunit ribosomal RNA", at positions 1470 to 1796 of the family's 1831-position model. The record is from RNAcentral.
CCCCUAGAUGUUCUGGGCCGCACGCGCGCUACACUGAACAGUUCAACAAGUCUUAACCUUGGCCGAUGGGUCUGGGUAAUCUUUGAACGCUGUUCGUGAUUGGGAUAGACCUUUGCAAUUAUGGGUCUUCAACGAGGAAUUCCUAGUAAACGCAAGUCAUCAGCUUGCAUUGAUUACGUCCCUGCCCUUUGUACACACCGCCCGUCGCACCUACCGAUUGAAUGGUCCGGUGAAAUCUCGGGACGGCGGCUUGGUCGCUUGCGUCCGACUGCUGAAACUUGAUUAAACCAUAUCAUUUAGAGGAAGGUGAAGUCGUAACA